GCCAGCAUGGUGUAGUGGUUUGAAUGUUGGACUGUAACUCUGGAGUCCAGGGUUCAAUUCCCAGUUCAGCUA
Molecule: non-coding RNA, 72 nt
Organism: Phrynosoma platyrhinos (Desert horned lizard)
Lineage: Eukaryota; Metazoa; Chordata; Lepidosauria; Squamata; Phrynosomatidae
Source: the annotation of a GenBank genome assembly